This 180-nucleotide ribosomal RNA is filed under the name uncultured bacterium. RNAcentral describes it as "partial 16S ribosomal RNA". It matches the Rfam family "Bacterial small subunit ribosomal RNA", at positions 1321 to 1500 of the family's 1533-position model. The record is from RNAcentral.
UGAAGCUGGAAUUGCUAGUAAUGGCAGGUCAGCAUACUGCCGUGAAUACGUUCCCGGGCCUUGUACACACCGCCCGUCACACCAUGAGAGUUGGAAAUACCCGAAGCCUGUGAGCUAACUGUAAAGAGGCAGCAGUCGAAGGUAGAGCCAAUGAUUGGGGUGAAGUCGUAACAAGGUAAC